This 465-nucleotide ribosomal RNA is filed under the name uncultured bacterium. RNAcentral's name for it is "partial 16S ribosomal RNA". It matches the Rfam family "Bacterial small subunit ribosomal RNA", at positions 338 to 795 of the family's 1533-position model. The record is from RNAcentral.
CCUACGGGGGGCAGCAGUGGGGAAUUUUGCGCAAUGCUCGUAAGAGUGACGCAGCGACGCCGCGUGAAUGACGAAGGCCUUCGGGUCGUAAAGUUCUUUCGACAGGGAAGAAAAUGCCUAUAAGUAACUGUGUAUGUAUUGACGGUACCUGUAUAAGCAGCCCCGGCUAACUCCGUGCCAGCAGCCGCGGUAAUACGGAGGGGGCGAGCGUUGUUCGGAGGGACUGGGCGUAAAGAGCACGUAGGCGGUGUUGUAAGUCAUUAGUCAAAGACUAGAGCUCAACUUUAGUAAGGCUAGUGUUACUAUAAUACUAGAGUAUCAGAGAGGAUUGCAGAAUUCCUGGUGUAGCGGUGAAAUGCGUAGAUAUCAGGAGGAAUACCGUUAGCGAAGGCGGCAAUCUGGCUGGAAACUGACGCUGAGGUGCGAAAGCGUGGGUAGCAAACAGGAUUAGAUACCCCUGUAGUC